UUUUGUAGAGGAGAGACUAUAACAGCUGUUAUAGCAAGUUUAACCAGGAAAUUAUACUUUGAGGUCCAUCUACUUCAGGGCUAAACCAGGGAUCAGCAGGACAUCAACUAUCUGUAUCAUACAGCAGCCCAUCCAGCGAUCAUGAUGUGGUUGAAGAGGUGUCACAGCAUGGUAUUAUGGCCCUGGCACAUGGGGUCUUGAGGUGUUUGGAGAGUCCUUUCAUGAAGUUGAAAAUGAUGCUGCUGCAACUGUAGUGACAGAUGUGGAGAGGAACUUGCCUGGCUAUUUGGAAGAGGCUACCACACUGGAUGUUUAACGGGGAUGCUGUUGACCAACAGAACUAGUUCAGACCACUGCUGAUGGCAGUUCCACACAUCAACCAGAAACAGUGUAUCACUGUAGAUGUAGCUGAACAGAUGUUAUGCAUGGCCUGGUGACAGAGGGUUUCCACCUCCUGCUGCAGACAAAUGAUAGGUCACAGCAAUGGCAUAGGUCAGAUGUCUGUGUGCUUUCCUGUAAUACAGAUUGUGGUGCACACCAGGUAUGUAUCACCCAUGAAGGGCAAGAAUGCAGACACCGUGAGAUUAUGGCUGCGUUGGGUCUCAGAAUAAGAGUCUGCUUGCUGAGGCAUGGUCGGUUGAAACUCUGGCCCCUAAGGUACUGCAGCUGUGUCAUACUACCAGCAGAAUUCUGCUUUCUCUGUCUGUGUUCAGCAGAUUGAAACACAGGAGAGGCAGGCCACCUGCCCACUGAACCACCGUUGGCCAUUGAAAAUUACUGUCUAUGGUCUAACCUGUACAAAGUUCAACUACUCGCCCAUCUGCUAUGGUCCUACCAGUCACAAGGUCUUCAACUCACAGUCAUGAUCCUUCAGCUCAACAUGGUUUUGUCACCCUAUCAAUUUCCUCUGUGGAGCAACCAGGACAACAUGUGUCUGUACGUGGUCAGGGUAGUGUAGACCAUGGUGUGAGAUAUCAGUAAAGUCACCCUGGACUGCGUUAGAAUGUGUUGAACUGUGUAGUACACAUAGCUGGCUCAUAUUAUUGACUUACCACUUUACUGUGAUAUGUGCCUUCUAAUAUUGAAA
This is a long non-coding RNA of Protopterus annectens (West African lungfish), 1087 nucleotides long. RefSeq lists it as uncharacterized. Lineage: Eukaryota; Metazoa; Chordata; Ceratodontiformes; Protopteridae. The transcript is spliced from 3 exons. The record is from RefSeq and is a predicted model, not a curated record.